CCUCCCUCCCAUUAAUACACUGGCCCCUCCCUAAUAGGAGGGAGGGGGCAGUGUAUUAAUGGGAGGGAGGAG
Molecule: non-coding RNA, 72 nt
Organism: Pelobates cultripes (western spadefoot toad)
Lineage: Eukaryota; Metazoa; Chordata; Amphibia; Anura; Pelobatidae
Source: the annotation of a GenBank genome assembly